This 253-nucleotide ribosomal RNA is filed under the name uncultured bacterium. RNAcentral describes it as "partial 16S ribosomal RNA". It matches the Rfam family "Bacterial small subunit ribosomal RNA", at positions 524 to 776 of the family's 1533-position model. The record is from RNAcentral.
UACAGAGGUCUCAAGCGUUGUUCGGAUUCAUUGGGCGUAAAGGGUGCGUAGGCGGCGCGGUAAGUCGGGUGUGAAAUCUCGGGGCUUAACUCCGAAACUGCAUUCGAUACUGCCGUGCUUGAGGACUGGAGAGGAGACUGGAAUUCAUGGUGUAGCAGUGAAAUGCGUAGAUAUCAAGUGGAACACCAGUGGCGAAGGCGAGUCUCUGGACAUUUCCUGACGCUGAGGCACGAAAGCCAGGGGAGCAAACGGG